Molecule: ribosomal RNA, 630 nt
Filed under: Triticum aestivum (bread wheat)
Lineage: Eukaryota; Viridiplantae; Streptophyta; Magnoliopsida; Poales; Poaceae
Description: partial small subunit ribosomal RNA
Source: RNAcentral
AUGGAGCUGCAGGCGCAACCGACCGGCAGGAAGAGGGGCAGGACGAGGGACGGCACGACGGCGAGGGUGGUGCCGAGGAAGGAGGCGGAGAGGGAGAGAAGGCAGCACAUGAAGGCGCUCUGCGCCAAGCUCGCCUCCCUCAUCCCAAAAGAACACUUCUCCAACCCUUCUACAGUGACCCAGCUAGGCAGCCUAGAUGAGGCUGUGUCAUACAUCAAGAAGCUCAAGGAAAGGGUCGACGAGCUGCAACAUAGGAAGAGCUCUGCGAAAGCAAUGGCUGCCGCAAGAGGGGCUAGUGGCGCUUCAACGCCCGCCACCACCCCAACCACGAGUGGCGGUGCAGGGUCACAAGAACAAGAGAAACAUUGGGAGGCUUCAGCACCGGUGGUGGAGGUGCGGCAACACGAUGAUACAAGCAUGGAUGUGGUGCUUGUAUGCGGCACAGAGAGGCCGAUCAUGCUCCACAAGGUGAUCACCAUCCUUGAGGAAGAAGGCGCCGAUGUCAUCAAUGCCAAUCAAUCUGUUGCUACCCACAAAAUAUUCUACACCAUACACUGCCGGGCCUUCAGCUCAAGAAUUGGCAUCAAUGUUUCAAGUGUUUCCGGACGACUGAGAGAUGUUGUCAAUUAA